This 492-nucleotide ribosomal RNA is filed under the name uncultured bacterium. RNAcentral describes it as "bacterial SSU rRNA". It matches the Rfam family "Bacterial small subunit ribosomal RNA", at positions 903 to 1397 of the family's 1533-position model. The record is from RNAcentral.
AAAUGAAUAGACGGGGGCCCGCACAAGCAGUGGAGUAUGUGGUUUAAUUCGAAGCAACGCGAAGAACCUUACCAGGGCUUGACAUCUGCCGAAUCCCAAGAGAUUGGGAGUGCCUUUUAGGAACGGCAAGACAGGUGGUGCAUGGUUGUCGUCAGCUCGUGUCGUGAGAUGUUGGGUUAAGUCCCGCAACGAGCGCAACCCUUAUUGUUAGUUGCCAUCAUUUGGUUGGGCACUCUAACGAGACUGCCGGUGACAAAUCGGAGGAAGGUGGGGACGACGUCAAAUCAUCAUGCCCCUUAUGUCCUGGGCUACACACGUACUACAAUGGCCGCAAACAACGGGAAGCGAAGCCGCGAGGCGGAGCAAAUCCCCAAAAGCGGUCCCAGUUCGGAUUGCAGGCUGAAACUCGCCUGCAUGAAGUCGGAAUUGCUAGUAAUCGCAGAUCAGCAUGCUGCGGUGAAUACGUUCCCGGGCCUUGUACACACCGCCCGU